RNAcentral lists this ribosomal RNA (225 nucleotides) under uncultured bacterium. RNAcentral's name for it is "partial 16S ribosomal RNA". It matches the Rfam family "Bacterial small subunit ribosomal RNA", at positions 109 to 334 of the family's 1533-position model. The record is from RNAcentral.
AGUAACGCGUGGGUAACCUGCCUUGUACAGGGGGAUAACAGUUGGAAACGGCUGCUAAUACCGCAUAAGCGCACAGCAUCGCAUGAUGCAGUGUGAAAAACUCCGGUGGUAUAAGAUGGACCCGCGUUGGAUUAGCUAGUUGGUGAGGUAACGGCCCACCAAGGCGACGAUCCAUAGCCGACCUGAGAGGGUGACCGACCACAUUGGGACUGAGACACGGCCCAA